Molecule: long non-coding RNA, 822 nt
Organism: Daucus carota subsp. sativus
Lineage: Eukaryota; Viridiplantae; Streptophyta; Magnoliopsida; Apiales; Apiaceae
Exons: 3
Source: RefSeq, a predicted model, not a curated record
CCCCCUCUCCCUCACCCUCUGUUUGUGUGUGUUUUCUUGAAUUUUUAUAUAUAUGUUCUUGAAAUUCUAGAGUGCAGGAGAAGUGAACCCAAAGGCAUACCCGUUAGCUGAUUCACAGAGUGCUUGUAUUGUUUCAAGGCAAAGAACAAGAAGGGUGCUUUUUUAGCUGCUGGUUUUGGUGGUCUUUGGAAUACAUAGUGGAGAAUCUUCAUGGCAUUUACACUUCACCGACGCUGGACUCGGAACAUAAAAAGCGAUUGAAAAUGCUAAAACUUCUAUAAACCCGAGGAUAUUGAAAUAGAAACAGAGUGCAGUAUGUGGAAGCUGGAUUCUGAAUCUACUGAUCUGUUAUCUGAAUAUCUGGUACCAACUUGUAGUUUGAUGGUUAAAAUAGAAAUUAUUCUCAUGUAACAUAAUUAGUGAAUUCAAAUUAAUAUAGACUCAGUAUGUGUUGUUCUUUAACAAUCAAUGCUAAGUAUUGACACUUCAACUUGCGAUACCAGUUUAUUAAUCCUUGUGGUACCAAUUUAUGUUCUUUUUUCUUUUCUUUAUUGUCUUUUGGUGCACAAAAAAUAUAGCAACCAAGACUGCGGUGCAGAUCAGAAGUCAUGCACAUAAAUUCUGUACAAAGGCCGCCAAAGAGUUUGGAGUUUGGAGUUUGGAUUUUGGCCGAUGGCUAACUAGAUUAUUUUAGUUUGGAGUUUUUGGAUGACUUUAGAUUUUGGUAGUUUGGGCUUUUUUGGUAUAUUGGUUGUAUAUGAUUAAAUGUUGGAUAUUGGUAUUGCGGUUUUUAUGAAUGAAUAUGAAUAGUAUUUUGGGUUC